Molecule: ribosomal RNA, 408 nt
Filed under: Apocephalus sp. 519 JMH-2018
Lineage: Eukaryota; Metazoa; Arthropoda; Insecta; Diptera; Phoridae
Description: partial 16S ribosomal RNA
Rfam family: Bacterial large subunit ribosomal RNA
Source: RNAcentral
GUUUAUCAAACACAUGUCUUUUAGAAUUAAAUUAAAAGUCAGGCCUGCCCACUGAAAUUUUAAAUGGCCGCAGUAUUUUAACUGUGCAAAGGUAGCAUAAUCAAUAGUCUUCUAAUUAGAGGCUGGAAUGAAUGGUUUAAUGAGAUAUUAACUGUUUCAUAAAAAUUUAUAAUAGAAUUUUAUUUUUUAGUGAAAAAGCUAAAAUAUAAUUAAAAGACGAGAAGACCCUAUAAAUCUUUAUAUUUUAUUGGGGUGAUAUUAAAAUUUAAUUAACUUUUAAUUUUUAAUUUACAUUAAUUAAUGAAUUAUUGAUCCAUAUAUUAUGAUUAAAAAUUCUAGUUACUUUAGGGAUAACAGCGUAAUUUUUUUUGAGAGUUCUUAUUGAUAAAAAAGGUUGCGACCUCGAUG